RNAcentral lists this ribosomal RNA (241 nucleotides) under uncultured Staphylococcus sp. RNAcentral's name for it is "partial 16S ribosomal RNA". It matches the Rfam family "Bacterial small subunit ribosomal RNA", at positions 99 to 334 of the family's 1533-position model. Lineage: Bacteria; Bacillati; Bacillota; Bacilli; Caryophanales; Staphylococcaceae. The record is from RNAcentral.
CGGACGGGUGAGUAACACGUGGAUAACCUACCUAUAAGACUGGGAUAACUUCGGGAAACCGGAGCUAAUACCGGAUAAUAUAUUGAACCGCAUGGUUCAAUAGUGAAAGACGGUUUUGCUGUCACUUAUAGAUGGAUCCGCGCCGCAUUAGCUAGUUGGUAAGGUAACGGCUUACCAAGGCAACGAUGCGUAGCCGACCUGAGAGGGUGAUCGGCCACACUGGAACUGAGACACGGUCCAU